CGUUACCAAACUGUUGCCUCGGCGGGAUCUCUGCCCCGGGUGCGUCGCAGCCCCGGACCAAGGCGCCCGCCGGAGGACCAACCAAAACUCUUUUUGUAUACCCCCUCGCGGGUUUUUUAUAAUCUGAGCCUUCUCGGCGCCUCUCGUAGGCGUUUCGAAAAUGAAUCAAAACUUUCAACAACGGAUCUCUUGGUUCUGGCAUCGAUGAAGAACGCAGCGAAAUGCGAUAAGUAAUGUGAAUUGCAGAAUUCAGUGAAUCAUCGAAUCUUUGAACGCACAUUGCGCCCGCCAGUAUUCUGGCGGGCAUGCCUGUCCGAGCGUCAUUUCAACCCUCGAACCCCUCCGGGGGGUCGGCGUUGGGGAUCGGCCCUGCCUCUUGGCGGUGGCCGUCUCCGAAAUACAGUGGCGGUCUCGCCGCAGCCUCUCCUGCGCAGUAGUUUGCACACUCGCAUCGGGAGCGCGGCGCGUCCACAGCCGUUAAACACCCAACUUCUGAAAUGUUGACCUCGGAUCAGGUAGGAAUACCCGCUGAACUUAAGCAUAUCAUA
RNAcentral lists this ribosomal RNA (548 nucleotides) under Trichoderma harzianum. RNAcentral's name for it is "eukaryotic LSU rRNA". The stretch from base 170 to 323 matches the Rfam family "5.8S ribosomal RNA". The record is from RNAcentral. Lineage: Eukaryota; Fungi; Ascomycota; Sordariomycetes; Hypocreales; Hypocreaceae.